UCAGAAAAAUCACUCAAGAAAGUCAACGUAGUUGUCUUGCACCAUUAAUGUUGCUUCAUUAUGUGGCACAAUUCACAAUGCAAAUUCAAAGUGAACAAAAAUAAUAUAACACACUGGCUGAGUGCCUUUUUGUGCUAUAUUUUGAGUUAAUAAAGCAUUUUAAUUUCUUUCGUUUGCCCUUUCUUGUUCUUGUGGUGGCGGUGGUGGUGGUGUUGAUGAUAGUGCAACAACUUUUUGAGGUCAUUUAUUGGCCUUCAUAUUGGUUUAGCACAUGAUUGAUGCUACAAAGUAGGGCUAAAAGUGGAUCGAAUAUAGAUCGUUUGUCAGUAUUAUCCAUAUCCGUUUGUUUAUAUUUGGAGAAUAUGGAUGUGGAUAUGGAUACUUGAUGACCCAAAG
This 396-nucleotide long non-coding RNA is filed under the name Phoenix dactylifera (date palm). RNAcentral describes it as "long non-coding RNA (PDAC_LNC006001)". The record is from RNAcentral. Lineage: Eukaryota; Viridiplantae; Streptophyta; Magnoliopsida; Arecales; Arecaceae.